GUCAUUUUUGUGAUUUGCAGCU
Molecule: microRNA, 22 nt
Filed under: Petromyzon marinus (sea lamprey)
Lineage: Eukaryota; Metazoa; Chordata; Hyperoartia; Petromyzontiformes; Petromyzontidae
Also listed under: 6 other names
Description: pma-miR-153-5p
Gene: pma-miR-153-5p
Source: miRBase by way of RNAcentral